This 376-nucleotide ribosomal RNA is filed under the name uncultured Bacillota bacterium. RNAcentral describes it as "bacterial SSU rRNA". It matches the Rfam family "Bacterial small subunit ribosomal RNA", at positions 1001 to 1382 of the family's 1533-position model. Lineage: Bacteria; Bacillati; Bacillota. The record is from RNAcentral.
UAGAGAUAGAUCAGGCCUUCGGGACAGAGAGACAGGUGGUGCAUGGUUGUCGUCAGCUCGUGUCGUGAGAUGUUGGUUAAGUCCGCAACGAGCGCAACCCUUAUCAUUAGUUGCUAACAUUCAGUUGAGAACUCUAAUGAGACUGCCAGUGAUAAACUGGAGGAAGGUGGGGAUGACGUCAAAUCAUCAUGCCCCUUAUGACCUGGGCUACACACGUGCUACAAUGGCCGGUACAAAGAGUUGCGAAACUGUGAAGUUAAGCUAAUCUCAUAAAGCCGGUCUCAGUUCGGAUUGUAGUCUGCAACUCGACUACAUGAAGUCGGAAUCGCUAGUAAUCGCGAAUCAGAAUGUCGCGGUGAAUACGUUCUCGAGUCUU